RNAcentral lists this ribosomal RNA (320 nucleotides) under uncultured bacterium. Its description in RNAcentral is "bacterial SSU rRNA". It matches the Rfam family "Bacterial small subunit ribosomal RNA", at positions 29 to 334 of the family's 1533-position model. The record is from RNAcentral.
AACGAACGCUGGCGGCAUGCCUAAUACAUGCAAGUCGAACGAGAAAGCUCUUUCGGGAGUGAUUAGAGUGGCGGACGGGUGAGUAACACGUAGGUGACCUAUCUAGUGGAAGGGGAUAACAGGGAGAAGUUCCUGCUAAUACCGUAUAAGUUGAGCGAACUUGGAAAUAGCUCAAGAAAGAUGGCCUCUGUUUCAUGCUAUCACCAUUGGGAGGGCCUGCGGGUCAUUAGUUUGUUGGUGGGGUAAAGGCCUACCAAGACUAUGAUGACUAGCCGGUCUGAGAGGAUGAUCGGCCACACUGGAACCGAGACACGGUCCAG